Molecule: unclassified non-coding RNA, 205 nt
Filed under: uncultured fungus
Lineage: Eukaryota; Fungi
Description: sequence contains ITS1
Source: RNAcentral
UUUAUUAAUUUUCUGUAUUUUAAAACUCGGACAACAAAAUAUUCAGAGUUUUAAUUUCCUCUGGCGGGAAUGGAAAAGGCUAGAAAAAGCUUUACUACCCGCCAAAGCAACAAAGUCAAGUACAACAAAGGGUUUGGAGGGCUACCCUCAAUUAAAGAGGGCAUAAACUCUAUUAAUGAUCCUUCCGCAGGUUCACCUACGGAAA